UCACCCACAAGCAUCUCCCAACAAAUCACAUCAGGCAGUAACACAACAGGCUCACCCACAAGCACCUCCCAACAAAACACAUCAGCCUUUAGCACAACAGGCUCACUAUCAAGUACCUCCAAGAGCCAAACCACAUCAGCCGUUAGCACCACAGGCUCACUAUCA
Silurus meridionalis is the source of this 165-nucleotide long non-coding RNA. RefSeq lists it as uncharacterized. The record is from RefSeq and is a predicted model, not a curated record. Lineage: Eukaryota; Metazoa; Chordata; Actinopteri; Siluriformes; Siluridae. The transcript is spliced from 4 exons.